CCUACGGGAGGCAGCAGUGAGGAAUAUUGGUCAAUGGGCGCGAGCCUGAACCAGCCAAGUCGCGUGAAGGAUGAAUGCCCUACGGGUUGUAAACUUCAUUUAUAAAGGAGUAAAUGGAGGCACGUGUGCCUUUUUGUCUGUACUUUAUGAAUAAGGAUCGGCUAACUCCGGGCCAGCAGCCGCGGUAAUACGGAGGAACCGGGUGUUAUCCGGAUUUAUUGGGUUUAAAGGGAGCGUAGAUGGGUUGUUAAGUCAGUUGUGAAAGUUUGCGGCUCAACCGUAAAAUUGCAAUUGAUACUGGCCGGCUGGAGUGCAGUUGAGGUAGGCGGAAUUCGUGGUGUAGCGGUGAAAUGCUUAGAUAUCACGAAGAACUCCGAUUGCGAAGGCAGCCUACUAAACUGCCACUGACAUUGAUGCUCGAAAGUGUGGGUAUCAAACAGGAUUAGAUACCCGGGUAGUC
Molecule: ribosomal RNA, 460 nt
Filed under: uncultured bacterium
Lineage: Bacteria
Description: partial 16S ribosomal RNA
Rfam family: Bacterial small subunit ribosomal RNA
Source: RNAcentral